Molecule: small RNA, 433 nt
Filed under: Mycosphaerella sp. 1567 FbLB
Lineage: Eukaryota; Fungi; Ascomycota; Dothideomycetes; Mycosphaerellales; Mycosphaerellaceae
Description: eukaryotic LSU rRNA
Rfam family: 5.8S ribosomal RNA (bases 133-285)
Source: RNAcentral
AUGCCGACCUCCACCCUUUGUGAACCCCUCGUUGCUUCGGGGGCGACCCCGCCGUUCGCGCGGUCGGGGGCGCCCCCGGAGGCCAUCGAACACUGCGUAAUUUUGCGUCGGAGUUUAAAUCAAAUUAAACAAAACUUUCAACAACGGAUCUCUUGGUUCUGGCAUCAAUGAAGAACGCAGCGAAAUGCAAUAAGUAAUGUGAAUUGCAGAAUUCAGUGAAUCAUCAAUCUUUGAACGCACAUUGCGCCCCUUGGUAUUCCGAGGGGGAUGCCUGUUCGAGCGUCAUUACACCACUCAAGCCUGGCUUGGUAUUGGGUGCCGCGGGCCUCCCGCGCGCCUCAAAGUCUCUCCGGCUGACCGGCUCCGUCUCUAAGCGUUGUGGCAACUAUUCGCGGUGAGAGGGGGCGGCGCGGCCGUUAAACUUUUCUUAAGG